UGGGGAAUUUUGGACAAUGGGCGAAAGCCUGAUCCAGCAAUGCCGCGUGUGUGAAGAAGGCCUUCGGGUUGUAAAGCACUUUUGUCCGGAAAGAAAUCCUUGGCUCUAAUACAGUCGGGGGAUGACGGUACCGGAAGAAUAAGCACCGGCUAACUACGUGCCAGCAGCCGCGGUAAUACGUAGGGUGCAAGCGUUAAUCGGAAUUACUGGGCGUAAAGCGUGCGCAGGCGGUUUGCUAAGACCGAUGUGAAAUCCCCGGGCUCAACCUGGGAACUGCAUUGGUGACUGGCAGGCUAGAGUAUGGCAGAGGGGGGUAGAAUUCCACGUGUAGCAGUGAAAUGCGUAGAGAUGUGGAGGAAUACCGAUGGCGAAGGCAGCCCCCGGGCCAAUACUGACGCUCAUGCACGAAAGCGUGGGGAGCAAAACAGGAUUAGAUACCCUGGUAGUCCACGCCCUAAAACGAUGUCAACUAGUUGUUGGGGAUUCAUUUCCUUAGUAACGUAGCUAACGCGUGAAGUUGACCGCCUGGGGAGUACGGUCGCAAGAUUAAAACUCAAAGGAAUUGACGGGGUCAUAGCUGUUUCCU
RNAcentral lists this ribosomal RNA (586 nucleotides) under uncultured bacterium. RNAcentral describes it as "partial 16S ribosomal RNA". It matches the Rfam family "Bacterial small subunit ribosomal RNA", at positions 355 to 1375 of the family's 1533-position model. The record is from RNAcentral.